RNAcentral lists this ribosomal RNA (447 nucleotides) under uncultured bacterium. Its description in RNAcentral is "bacterial SSU rRNA". It matches the Rfam family "Bacterial small subunit ribosomal RNA", at positions 29 to 521 of the family's 1533-position model. The record is from RNAcentral.
AACGAACGCUGGCGGCAGGCCUAACACAUGCAAGUCGAGCGCCCCAGCAAUGGGGAGCGGCAGACGGGUGAGUAACGCGUGGGUAUCUACCUAGUGGUGCGGAAUAGCCCAGGGAAACUUGGAGUAAUACCGCAUAAGCCCGAAAGGGGAAAGAUUUAUCGCCAUUAGAUGAGCCCGCGUUGGAUUAGCUAGUUGGUGGGGUAACGGCCCACCAAGGCGACGAUCCAUAGCUGGUCUGAGAGGAUGAUCAGCCACACUGGGACUGAGACACGGCCCAGACUCCUACGGGAGGCAGCAGUGGGGAAUAUUGGACAAUGGGCGCAAGCCUGAUCCAGCCAUGCCGCGUGAGUGACGAAGGUCUUCGGAUUGUAAAGCUCUUUUGGCGGGGACGAUAAUGACGGUACCCGCAGAAUAAGCCCCGGCUAACUUCGUGCCAGCAGCCGCGUU